RNAcentral lists this ribosomal RNA (495 nucleotides) under uncultured bacterium. RNAcentral's name for it is "partial 16S ribosomal RNA". It matches the Rfam family "Bacterial small subunit ribosomal RNA", at positions 29 to 506 of the family's 1533-position model. The record is from RNAcentral.
AUGAACGCUGGCGGCGUGCCUCAUCCAUGCAAGUCGAGCGAACAGACGAGGAGCUUGCUCCUCUGACGUUAGCGGCGGACGGGUGAGUAACACGUGGAUAACCUACCUAUAAGACUGGGAUAACUUCGGGAAACCGGAGCUAAUACCGGAUAAUAUAUUGAACCGCAUGGUUCAAUAGUGAAAGACGGUUUUGCUGUCACUUAUAGAUGGAUCCGCGCCGCAUUAGCUAGUUGGUAAGGUAACGGCUUACCAAGGCGACGAUGCGUAGCCGACCUGAGAGGGUGAUCGGCCACACUGGAACUGAGACACGGUCCAGACUCCUACGGGAGGCAGCAGUAGGGAAUCUUCCGCAAUGGGCGAAAGCCUGACGGAGCAACGCCGCGUGAGUGAUGAAGGUCUUCGGAUCGUAAAACUCUGUUAUUAGGGAAGAACAAAUGUGUAAGUAACUAUGCACGUCUUGACGGUACCUAAUCAGAAAGCCACGGCUAACUACGU